GAAAUGCGAUAAGUAAUGCGAAUUGCAGAAUUCCAGUGAGUCAUCGAAUCUUUGAACGCACAUUGCGCCCUUUGGUAUUCCGAAGGGCAUGCCUGUUCGAGCGUCAUUAUCACCCCUCAAGCCCCCGGGCUUGGUUUUGGAGUUUAGGCCUGGGCGACAAGCCCUCGCCCCUCCUAAAGACAAUGACGGCGGCCCAGGACCACCGGUACACUGAGUUCUUCACUGGACACGUACCGUCAUAGGUCUCUGGGCCCUCGGUCUCAACCCCUUUAUUUUUACAAGGUUGACCUCGGAUCAGGUAGGGAUACCCGCUGAACUUAA
Molecule: unclassified non-coding RNA, 321 nt
Filed under: uncultured Herpotrichiellaceae
Lineage: Eukaryota; Fungi; Ascomycota; Eurotiomycetes; Chaetothyriales; Herpotrichiellaceae
Description: sequence contains ITS1
Rfam family: 5.8S ribosomal RNA (bases 1-106)
Source: RNAcentral